UACGUAGGGGGCAAGCGUUGUCCGGAUUUACUGGGCGUAAAGAGCGUGUAGGCGGCCACGCAGGUCCGUUGUGAAAACUGGAGGCUCAACCUCCAGCUGUCGACGGAAACCGUAUGGCUAGAGUCCGGAAGAGGAGAGUGGAAUUCCUGGUGUAGCGGUGAAAUGCGCAGAUAUCAGGAAGAAUAUCCGUGGCGAAGGCGGCUCUCUGGGACGGUACUGACGCUGAGACGCGAAAGCGUGGGGAGCGAACAGG
RNAcentral lists this ribosomal RNA (253 nucleotides) under uncultured bacterium. Its description in RNAcentral is "partial 16S ribosomal RNA". It matches the Rfam family "Bacterial small subunit ribosomal RNA", at positions 524 to 776 of the family's 1533-position model. The record is from RNAcentral.